AACUUUCAGCAAUGGAUCUCUUGGCUCUCGCAUCGAUGAAGAACGCAGCGAAAUGCGAUAAGUAAUGUUAAUUGCAGAUUUUCAGUGAAUCAUCGAAUCUUUGAACGCACCUUGCGCCCCUUGGUAUUCCGAGGGGCAUGCCUGUUUGAGUGUCAUUGAAAUAUCAACCUUGGGUGGAUUUGCUUCCUCUCCGAUGGUUGGACUUUGGAGAGUGCUGGCGUCAGGUCGGCUCCUCUUAAAUGCAUCAGCGGAAAACUUUGACCUCUGGACGUCAGCGUGAUAAUCACGUUGCGCUGUCGACCGAGGUGUCAUCAUAAGGACCCGCUUCUAAUGGUCUUCGGACAGGACAUCAAAUUUGACCUCAAAUCAGAUAGGACUACCCGCUGAACUUAAGCAUAUCAAUAAGCGGAGGCU
This 414-nucleotide unclassified non-coding RNA is filed under the name uncultured Atheliaceae. RNAcentral describes it as "sequence contains ITS2". The stretch from base 1 to 155 matches the Rfam family "5.8S ribosomal RNA". The record is from RNAcentral. Lineage: Eukaryota; Fungi; Basidiomycota; Agaricomycetes; Atheliales; Atheliaceae.